CUUUUUAAUGUAGCCCUUCUAGCUCGUCAAGCAUAGAGAUUAAUGCAGGAGUCUGAGUCUCUUAGUGCGCAAGUUCUCAAAGCGAGGUAUUAUCCAAACUGUCUUUUUUUGGACGUUACAUUUGGAUCGGUGCCAUCUCAGGGUCUCAUCAAGCGGAUUGGAUCGGGGACGAACACUGAUAUUUGGGGAGAGAACUGGUUACCGAGAGACUAUAAACUCGGACUCAUAUAUUGUCGGUCGGUUAACCCACCCUUAAGAGUAGCAGAUCUCAUUAAUCCCACGACCAGGACAUGGGACACACAAGCUCUUUCUGAACACUUCAUAGCACCGGAUGUAGAGGUCAUCCAAAAUAUACCUUUGAGCACCAGGGUUCAAGAAGAUUUCUGGUCUUGGCACUAUGACAAGCGAGAUGUGUUUACUGUCUGUUCCGCCUACAGGAUGUUAUCAUGCAUUAAAACACAGAGAGAAGAUUGGUUGGAGCAUUGCAAGGAAAAUUCAAAAGCCGUCGUGAAGAAGUCUUGGACCUCGCUCUGGAAAGUAAAGGUACCUUCUAAGGUACGUUUGUUUGUGUGGAGGCUGGCUCAUACAUCUAUACUCACAGCUUAAGUUCGUCAUGCUCGAAAUAUGGCUAAUUCCCCCAUCUGCACUAUAUGCAAUACCGACAUCGAUUCAUGGAGGCACUCAUUGCUUAACUGUCGGAUGGCAAGGUGUGUGUGGGCCCUUGGAGAUGAAGCACUGCUUGAACAUGUGAUCUCAAACAGGAGUGAUGAUCCAAAGGUAUGCCUUUUUUUGGUUGUUCGAUACGCUGAAACAGGAAGACCUAGCGAAGGUUCUAAUCACCAUGUGGGUGAUUUGGUGGGCUAG
RNAcentral lists this ribosomal RNA (864 nucleotides) under Triticum aestivum (bread wheat). RNAcentral's name for it is "partial small subunit ribosomal RNA". The record is from RNAcentral. Lineage: Eukaryota; Viridiplantae; Streptophyta; Magnoliopsida; Poales; Poaceae.